Molecule: transfer RNA, 70 nt
Filed under: Dipodomys ordii (Ord's kangaroo rat)
Lineage: Eukaryota; Metazoa; Chordata; Mammalia; Rodentia; Heteromyidae
Rfam family: tRNA
About the family: Transfer RNA (tRNA) molecules are approximately 80 nucleotides in length. Their secondary structure includes four short double-helical elements and three loops (D, anti-codon, and T loops). Further hydrogen bonds mediate the characteristic L-shaped molecular structure. tRNAs have two regions of fundamental functional importance: the anti-codon, which is responsible for specific mRNA codon recognition, and the 3' end, to which the tRNAs corresponding amino acid is attached (by aminoacyl-tRNA synthetases). tRNAs cope with the degeneracy of the genetic code in two manners: having more than one tRNA (with a specific anti-codon) for a particular amino acid; and 'wobble' base-pairing, i.e. permitting non-standard base-pairing at the 3rd anti-codon position.
Source: Rfam by way of RNAcentral
GGGAAUGUGGCUUAGCAGGAGAGUGCUUGCCUAGAAUGCAUGAAGCCCUGGGUUCAUUUCCUCAGUCCCA